Molecule: ribosomal RNA, 447 nt
Filed under: uncultured bacterium
Lineage: Bacteria
Description: bacterial SSU rRNA
Rfam family: Bacterial small subunit ribosomal RNA
Source: RNAcentral
UUCCAGACUCCUACGGGAGGCAGCAGUGGGGAAUAUUGCACAAUGGGGGAAACCCUGAUGCAGCGACGCCGCGUGAGUGAAGAAGUAUUUCGGUAUGUAAAGCUCUAUCAGCAGGGAAGAAAAUGACGGUACCUGAUUAAGAAGCCCCGGCUAACUACGUGCCAGCAGCCGCGGUAAUACGUAGGGGGCAAGCGUUAUCCGGAUUUACUGGGUGUAAAGGGUGCGCAGGCGGCACGGCAAGCCGGCGGUCAAAUCGCGGGGCUCAACCCCGCCCAGCCGUCGGAACUGCCGGGCUAGAGUGGGCGAGAAGUGCGCGGAAUGCGUGGUGUAGCGGUGAAAUGCAUAGAUAUCGCGCAGAACUCCGAUUGCGAAGGCAGCAUGCCGGCGCCACACUGACGCUGAGGCACGAAAGCGUGGGUAUCGAACAGGAUUAGAUACCCCGGUAAC